This 767-nucleotide ribosomal RNA is filed under the name uncultured bacterium. Its description in RNAcentral is "bacterial SSU rRNA". It matches the Rfam family "Bacterial small subunit ribosomal RNA", at positions 28 to 776 of the family's 1533-position model. The record is from RNAcentral.
GACGAACGCUGGCGGCGUGCCUAAUACAUGCAAGUCGAGCGAAGUUUUUCUGGUGCUUGCACUAGAAAAACUAGCGGCGAACGGGUGAGUAACACGUAAAGAACCUGCCUCAUAGACUGGGACAACUAUUGGAAACGAUAGCUAAUACCGGAUAACAGUAUUUCUCGCAUGAGAGAUAUUUAAAAGUUGGUUAUGCUAACACUAUGAGAUGGCUGUGCGGUGCAUUAGCUAGUUGGUGGGGUAAAGGCCUACCAAGGCGACGAUGCAUAGCCGACCUGAGAGGGUGAUCGGCCACACUGGGACUGAGACACGGCCCAGACUCCUACGGGAGGCAGCAGUAGGGAAUCUUCCGCAAUGGGCGAAAGCCUGACGGAGCAACGCCGCGUGAGUGAAGAAGGAUUUCGGUUCGUAAAGCUCUGUUGUUAGGGAAGAAUGGAUAUGUAGUAACUAUACAUAUAAGAGACGGUACCUAACCAGAAAGCCACGGCUAACUACGUGCCAGCAGCCGCGGUAAUACGUAGGUGGCAAGCGUUGUCCGGAAUUAUUGGGCGUAAAGCGCGCGCAGGUGGUUUAAUAAGUCUGAUGUGAAAGCCCACGGCUCAACCGUGGAGGGUCAUUGGAAACUGUUAAACUUGAGUGCAGGAGAGAAAAGUGGAAUUCCUAGUGUAGCGGUGAAAUGCGUAGAGAUUAGGAGGAACACCAGUGGCGAAGGCGGCUUUUUGGCCUGUAACUGACACUGAGGCGCGAAAGCGUGGGGAGCAAACAGG